UGGGGAAUAUUGCACAAUGGAGGGAACUCUGAUGCAGCGACGCCGCGUGAGUGAUGAAGGAAUUCGUUUCGUAAAACUCUGUUCUAUGGGAAGAAAAGGACUGUACCAUAGGAGAAAGCUCCGGCUAAAUACGUGCCAGCAGCCGCGGUAAUACGUAUGGAGCGAGCGUUGUCCGGAAUUAUUGGGCGUAAAGGGUGCGCAGGCGGCUUUACAAGUUGGAUGUGAAAUAUUGUGGCUCAACCACAAACGUGCAUCCAAAACUGCAAAGCUUGAGUUAAGGAGAGGUAAGUGGAAUUCCUGGUGUAGCGGUGGAAUGCGUAGAUAUCAGGAGGAAUACCGGUGGCGAAGGCGACUUACUGAACUGAAACUGACGCUCAGGCACGAAAGCGUGGGGAGCAAACAGG
RNAcentral lists this ribosomal RNA (404 nucleotides) under Fusobacteriota bacterium. RNAcentral's name for it is "Fusobacteria bacterium partial 16S ribosomal RNA". It matches the Rfam family "Bacterial small subunit ribosomal RNA", at positions 355 to 776 of the family's 1533-position model. Lineage: Bacteria; Fusobacteriati; Fusobacteriota. The record is from RNAcentral.